CUCCCUCACCCUGUACAGCCCCAGCAGUUUCUCUCGCUCCACACACCCAAGACUGCCUCAGGGCAGGGCCUCCUCAGCUCAUGCAUGGACCCUGGACUGAGUCAGUCCCUACACCCAGCUCCCAGCUCAGAGGCCAACUUUUGGAGGAAGCUUUCCCUGGGCAACUGUCUGACUUUCGCUUUCACCCACAGCAGCCAGGUUGUGGACUAACCAAGGAUGGAGAACCAAAGCUGUGGGCAAUGGGGGCUCAAGCCAACGAAAUUCUCAGGUCCUUGUGAGAACAGCAUCGCUGAUGGUUAUGUCGGCUUUGUAUUUUUCAGUGAGUGAGUGUUUUCCUCAGACUGACUGAAGACAGAGCUUGUAUAGGCCAAGCUGGCUUUGAGCUAGCUAUGUUGUCAAAGAUAACCUUCAACUUCAGUUCCCGCCCACCUCUACCUCCGGAGAGCUAGGAUUACAGCAUGAGCCACCACACAUGCCUGUUCUAUGCAGUGCUGGGGAGUCAGCUCAGGGCUAGCUAUGCUCACUACCAACCAAGCCACACCCCCGCCUACGUGACAAGAUCUUUAAAAGCAUCAUCCGAGGAACGUGGAAGGAGACACGCUCACCAAGCCCUGCCCCUCCCUGCGGAGGGUUCUCCCUGGGCGUACUUCUGGUGUGCUGUGGACAAGAAGAGAGAAAGCCCUAAGGCAAAAAAAUCCAGGAAGAAGUCUGCACCAAGGGUCACUGGGAGGAUGAUACAAGUCCACCUGUGCUCCUGUCCUGUUCUUCUCAGUCACCCAUCUCAUGUCCCAACCCUCAGGAUAUGAGAAGGGACUCAGGUAGAAACCUCUGGCUGGACCCCGAGUGCUGGGAGUUGCUUCCCCCUUCCUUGAGCUGCGCGAUGGGACCUAAUGAAGACAGAGGGACAGAGUUCUGCCCUCUUGCUCUCCAGGAGGUGACUCCAGACAGCACAUUGCCUUUCAGCGAUGGACAUUCAUGUUCUGGUGCCUGUGAUCAUAAGAAAGAGUGAUAAGAAGCAGUUGCCCCAAAUCAUGAUCGUAC
RNAcentral lists this long non-coding RNA (1041 nucleotides) under Meriones unguiculatus (Mongolian gerbil). RNAcentral describes it as "lncRNA (ENSMUGG00000025154.1)". The record is from RNAcentral. Lineage: Eukaryota; Metazoa; Chordata; Mammalia; Rodentia; Muridae.